AAAAACCAUGACCUGAUCAUCUGUCACUUGGCCUUUGCCCACAUAGUGAUGCUAGUCAUUGCAGCAGAGUUAUUGUCUCCAGACGUGUUUGAAUCACUGAAAUUUCAGAAUAACUUCAGAUGUAAGGCUGUGUUCUACACAUACAAUUAGGGUCCUCUCUAUCUGCAACACCUCUCUCCUGAGCAUGCUUCAGGCCAUCACCAUUAGCCCCAGCACUUCCUGGUUGGUGAGAUUUAAACAUAAAAUCACAAAACACAAUAUCCUGGGUUUACUCUUUUUUUGGUCCCUCAAUUUGUCUUUCAACAGUGACAUGAUAAGUUACAUUGUAGGUUUUUCCAAUGUGACCCAGAUAAUACUGAAUGUCAAUAAAUACUGCUCACUUUCCCCAAUAAAUGUCAUCAUCAGAAGGCUGUUUGUUACUCUGUCGUUAUCCAGAGAUGUCUUCCUUGUAGGAAUCAUGCUGCUCUCAAGUGCCUACAUGGUGAUUCUCUUGUCCAGGCAUCAGAGGCGCUCCCAGCACCUUCACAGCACUAGCUUUUUAUUAAGAACCUCCCCAGAGAAAAGGGCCACCAAAACCAUCUUGCUGCUGGUGAGUUUCUUUCUGGUUAUGUACUCAUUGGACUUGUCUCAUCCUCCACAAUGUUGUUAUGGGUAUUCAGUCCUGUCAUCUACAGUGUCCACAAGUUUAUGGUCAAUGCCUAUGCCACUGUCAGUCCUAUGGUGCUAAUCAGAUCUGAU
Molecule: long non-coding RNA, 738 nt
Filed under: Homo sapiens (human)
Lineage: Eukaryota; Metazoa; Chordata; Mammalia; Primates; Hominidae
Description: non-protein coding lnc-SUMF2-14:1
Source: RNAcentral